AACCAUCCUAAUCAGAUGGAAGUGCCAAGAGAAAAUGUUGCUCUUUGGAAGGAAAGAAAGAAACCAUGUUAAGGAGGGGUGUUAUGCAAUGAAUUUUUAGAUAUUAAAAAAAAUAACAUCUAGACCAUUAAGUUUCUUUGGUUUUGUAGAUAAGUUUGUCAGAUAAGAGUUAGAAUACUCCAACAAUCACUGGACAUUUCUAUAGUAACCUGAGGUAGAAUUUCAAACUUCCAGAGAGAAAGGAAGAGUAACAGCAGCCCAUUUAGACUCAGUGUCCAUCUCUCCUACCUGUGCUUGCCUUCCAGUACCUUUCAUACCUUCUAAAAUGGCCUCUCACUCAUCAGGAGAGUUUGAGGGGUCACGGUUUUUUAGAUCAAACUCUGAAGAUAAAGAAGGAUGGGAACUUAUACUUUUAGGAAUGCUGUCAUUAGAAAAAAAACUUCACAAAUGCCAGGACUUAACUUGAUCAAAUUAAUAAGCUGUUCCUGGGAGAACCUACUGCAUCAGCCAGGGUAAGGUAGGAGAGGUCUUAACUUCUGGCCUCUGGUCUCUUUACUUUAAAAAUUAUUGAGGACUCCCAAAGAGCAUUUGUUGAAGUGGAUUAUAUCCACUAAUUUUUUGUUCAUAUUAGAAAUUAAAAUAAGAAAAAUUUAAAAUAGCCAUAAUUUU
RNAcentral lists this long non-coding RNA (669 nucleotides) under Vulpes vulpes (red fox). Its description in RNAcentral is "lncRNA (ENSVVUG00000022542.1)". The record is from RNAcentral. Lineage: Eukaryota; Metazoa; Chordata; Mammalia; Carnivora; Canidae.